Molecule: non-coding RNA, 27 nt
Filed under: Mus musculus (house mouse)
Lineage: Eukaryota; Metazoa; Chordata; Mammalia; Rodentia; Muridae
Source: RNAcentral
UGAAAGCCCUCUGCUCAAUUUCAGUCC